ACGGAGGGUGCAAACGUUGCUCGGAAUCAUUGGGCGUAAAGCGCACGUAGGCGGCCUGUUAAGUCGGGUGUGAAAGCCCUGGGCUCAACCCAGGAAGUGCACUCGAAACUGACGGGCUUGAAUAUGGAAGAGGGUCGCGGAAUUCCCGGUGUAGAGGUGAAAUUCGUAGAUAUCGGGAGGAACACCAGUGGCGAAGGCGGCGACCUGGGCCACAUCUGACGCUGAGGCGCGAAAGCUAGGGGAGCAAACAGGA
RNAcentral lists this ribosomal RNA (253 nucleotides) under uncultured prokaryote. Its description in RNAcentral is "partial 16S ribosomal RNA". It matches the Rfam family "Bacterial small subunit ribosomal RNA", at positions 525 to 777 of the family's 1533-position model. The record is from RNAcentral.